RNAcentral lists this non-coding RNA (110 nucleotides) under Lotharella globosa. The record is from RNAcentral. Lineage: Eukaryota; Cercozoa; Chlorarachniophyceae.
AAACACCCAAAAAAAAAAAAAAAAAAAAAACGCGGAAGGAAAAACUUGAAAAAACCAUAGAAAAGAAUCACAUCUGUGGCUUCUCGCCGAACAGAUCUUUUUUUUUUUUU